Molecule: unclassified non-coding RNA, 332 nt
Filed under: soil metagenome
Description: partial contains 5.8S ribosomal RNA, internal transcribed spacer 2, and large subunit ribosomal RNA
Rfam family: 5.8S ribosomal RNA (bases 1-120)
Source: RNAcentral
GAUGAAGAACGCAGCAAAAUGCGAUAAGUAAUGUGAAUUGCAGAAUUCAGUGAAUCAUAGAAUCUUUGAACGCACAUUGCGCCCGCCAGUAUUCUGGCGGGCAUGCCUGUUCGAGCGUCAUUUCAACCCUCAAGCACAGCUUGGUGUUGGGACUCGCGUUAAUUCGCGUUCCUCAAAUUGAUUGGCGGUCACGUCGAGCUUCCAUAGCGUAGUAGUAAAACCCUCGUUACUGGUAAUCGUCGCGGCCACGCCGUUAAACCCCAACUUCUGAAUGUUGACCUCGGAUCAGGUAGGAAUACCCGCUGAACUUAAGCAUAUCAAUAAGCGGAGGA